RNAcentral lists this ribosomal RNA (374 nucleotides) under uncultured bacterium. RNAcentral's name for it is "bacterial SSU rRNA". It matches the Rfam family "Bacterial small subunit ribosomal RNA", at positions 523 to 898 of the family's 1533-position model. The record is from RNAcentral.
AUACGUAGGGGGCUAGCGUUGUCCGGAUUUACUGGGCGUAAAGGGUGCGUAGGCGGUCUUGUAAGUCAGAUGUGAAAUUCCACGGCUUAACUGUGGUAAGCAUUUGAAACUGCAAGGCUUGAGUACAGGAGAGGAGAGUGGAAUUCCUAGUGUAGCGGUGAAAUGCGUAGAUAUUAGGAGGAAUACCAGUGGCGAAGGCGACUCUCUGGACUGUAACUGACGCUGAGGCACGAAAGCGUGGGGAGCAAACAGGAUUAGAUACCCUGGUAGUCCACGCCGUAAACGAUGAGUGCUAGGUGUUGGAGGGGACACCCUUCGGUGCCGAAGUUAACACAUUAAGCACUCCGCCUGGGGAGUACGGUCGCAAGACUGAA